This 253-nucleotide ribosomal RNA is filed under the name uncultured bacterium. RNAcentral describes it as "partial 16S ribosomal RNA". It matches the Rfam family "Bacterial small subunit ribosomal RNA", at positions 524 to 776 of the family's 1533-position model. The record is from RNAcentral.
UACAGAGACUGCGAGCGUUAUUCGGAUUCACUGGGCGUAAAGGGUGCGCGGGCGGCCGGGUGUGUCAGAUGUGAAAUCCCGAGGCUCAACCUCGGAACUGCGUCUGAAACUACUCGGCUAGAGUAUUGGAGAGGGUAACGGAAUUCACGGUGUAGCAGUGAAAUGCGUAGAUAUCGUGAGGAACACCAGAGGCGAAGGCGGUUACCUGGACAAUUACUGACGCUCAAACACGAAAGCGUGGGGAGCAAACAGG